This is a long non-coding RNA of Dreissena polymorpha, 935 nucleotides long. RefSeq lists it as uncharacterized. NCBI's taxonomy places the organism in Eukaryota, Metazoa, Mollusca, Bivalvia, Myida, Dreissenidae. The record is from RefSeq and is a predicted model, not a curated record. The transcript has 4 exons.
UGGCGAUAUGCUACCAGCAUAAAACCAGAAUAGACUACGAGUGAGACUGUUCAGGUUUUAUGCCGUUUGCUGCUCAGCAGUACCUAAUGGUUUGAAAUGAAGCCUUAACAACUUAAAUAUAGUAAGAUAAGCCUUAAAUUAAAUGUGAUUUUGAAAGGGACUUGAAAGGUAUAUUUCAACAUUUGUCUUUUAUAACGCUGACGCUUUUUACCCUAGCUGGGUGAGAGGCUGCCCCGCUGGGUGCUUGAGACCACGUACGGUUUCAACCUACCGGCCCCUGGAGAGGGGGAGGACCCCCACAGACCCUCCAGAGUGUACGAGCUGCGUAAUACAUAUUGAGGGCAAGCUGCUGUACUGCCACCCAUCCCCGGAUGUGGACUCAGAGGCGUUCAGCAAGUUUGAAUAAAGGAGACCAGUCAAGACAGGCCCUGCUGGCAGUCGGGACCAGCCGGGGUCAUCAGACAACACAAAGCCACUGCCGCCCAGCAAGAUUGAUGCAGAUUUCUUUAGAAAGCGUGGUAGCACCCAGCUGGCUGCCAUGAUGUCCAUGCCAGGGUUCAGACAGACAUGCCUCCCACAGCAAGGUCAUCAGUUCUCUUUUGCUAACUCAGCCUUUAGUCCUGUCAGCCAGCCGCCUGGAAUGUAUGGACACAUGGGGCAUUUUCAAGGAUUUCAUAAGCAAAGGCCUCAUUAUGGGAAUUAAAGUCACCAGCAGAACUACAGGGGAAGGCCCCAGAGUAAACCUCAAGCAGCCAAUCAUUCUGCAGCUUACCAGCAGCCAGGCAGCAGGGCUUUAACAACCAGUGGCAUACAGCCAAUCAUGGUCAGGACCAGUCUGGAUCAGCCAAUCAGAAUGAAGGAAACAAAGCUGAAAGUGUGCCAUACGCUCAGCAGACAGCCAAUCAGCCAGCUAAGAGCAAACCAACCAGUGUUGU